CAGUCGACGAACUCUGGUAUUGAUUGGUGCUUGCAUCAUGAUUUACAUUUGAGUGAGUGGCGAACUGGUGAGUAACACGUGGGAAACCUGCCCAGAAGCGGGGGAUAACACCUGGAAACAGAUGCUAAUACCGCAUAACAACUUGGACCGCAUGGUCCGAGCUUGAAAGAUGGCUUCGGCUAUCACUUUUGGAUGGUCCCGCGGCGUAUUAGCUAGAUGGUGGGGUAACGGCUCACCAUGGCAAUGAUACGUAGCCGACCUGAGAGGGUAAUCGGCCACAUUGGGACUGAGACACGGCCCAAACUCCUACGGGAGGCAGCAGUAGGGAAUCUUCCACAAUGGACGAAAGUCUGAUGGAGCAACGCCGCGUGAGUGAAGAAGGGUUUCGGCUCGUAAAACUCUGUUGUUAAAGAAGAACAUAUCUGAGAGUAACUGUUCAGGUAUUGACGGUAUUUAACCAGAAAGCCACGGCUAACUACGUGCCAGCAGCCGCGGUAAUACGUAGGUGGCAAGCGUUGUCCGGAUUUAUUGGGCGUAAAGCGAGCGCAGGCGGUUUUUUAAGUCUGAUGUGAAAGCCUUCGGCUCAACCGAAGAAGUGCAUCGGAAACUGGGAAACUUGAGUGCAGAAGAGGACAGUGGAACUCCAUGUGUAGCGGUGAAAUGCGUAGAUAUAUGGAAGAACACCAGUGGCGAAGGCGGCUGUCUGGUCUGUAACUGACGCUGAGGCUCGAAAGUAUGGGUAGCAAACAGGAUUAGAUACCCUGGUAGUCCAUACCGUAAACGAUGAAUGCUAAGUGUUGGAGGGUUUCCGCCCUUCAGUGCUGCAGCUAACGCAUUAAGCAUUCCGCCUGGGGAGUACGGCCGCAAGGCUGAAACUCAAAGGAAUUGACGGGGGCCCGCACAAGCGGUGGAGCAUGUGGUUUAAUUCGAAGCUACGCGAAGAACCUUACCAGGUCUUGACAUACUAUGCAAAUCUAAGAGAUUAGACGUUCCCUUCGGGGACAUGGAUACAGGUGGUGCAUGGUUGUCGUCAGCUCGUGUCGUGAGAUGUUGGGUUAAGUCCCGCAACGAGCGCAACCCUUAUUAUCAGUUGCCAGCAUUAAGUUGGGCACUCUGGUGAGACUGCCGGUGACAAACCGGAGGAAGGUGGGGAUGACGUCAAAUCAUCAUGCCCCUUAUGACCUGGGCUACACACGUGCUACAAUGGAUGGUACAACGAGUUGCGAACUCGCGAGAGUAAGCUAAUCUCUUAAAGCCAUUCUCAGUUCGGAUUGUAGGCUGCAACUCGCCUACAUGAAGUCGGAAUCGCUAGUAAUCGCGGAUCAGCAUGCCGCGGUGAAUACGUUCCCGGGCCUUGUACACACCGCCCGUCACACCAUGAGAGUUUGUAACACCCAAAGUCGGUGG
Molecule: ribosomal RNA, 1407 nt
Filed under: Lactiplantibacillus plantarum
Lineage: Bacteria; Bacillati; Bacillota; Bacilli; Lactobacillales; Lactobacillaceae
Description: bacterial SSU rRNA
Rfam family: Bacterial small subunit ribosomal RNA
Source: RNAcentral